RNAcentral lists this long non-coding RNA (511 nucleotides) under Prunus persica (peach). Its description in RNAcentral is "long non-coding RNA (PPER_LNC006457)". Lineage: Eukaryota; Viridiplantae; Streptophyta; Magnoliopsida; Rosales; Rosaceae. The record is from RNAcentral.
AGGAAUAAAUCCCGUGUAAUUGAUGAUUUCCCAUCCUAUGUACAUGGGUCAACUCCUAAUUGUAAGCAAUAUUAGUAUAGAUUCAUUUCCUUCCUAGAAUAGGUAUCUGUAUAGUCCUCAUAAUGCUGUAAAAUUUUGUAAAUCAUUCAUUUAGUGAUAUACAAUUCUUCCUAUUAUACCAAAUUUAAUAUGGUAUCAGAGCAAAGGAAACCCAAGCUCUUAGUUUACCACAGCCAAUUUUCUUCUAGACAUUCCCUUUUCUUGGCUCUUUUUUUUAUUUUUUUUAUUUACUAGCAGUGAAGCUUGCAAGGGUUUUUACAAGGGAUUUACUAGCAGUGACGCUACUCUUGCUUUAUCAAAUUCCAUUGAAAAUUCUAGCCCUUUUUAUAUCCAUCAUUCUGACAACCCAAAUAAUCCUUUAGUUUCACAACUUUUGAACGGAGAUAAUUAUGCUACAUGGAGUAGGGCUGCUGAACUUUAACAAAUUGGGAUUCAUUGAUGGUACUCUGGA